GCCCGUACAUCGGCUCCUCGUCAAGCAAUCCGAGUUAUGGGCAAACCCUUUCUCGGCUUCUCACGCAUGUCCUUCCUUCCCUGCGUUCCUUUCUUCUAUCCUCUUUUUCUCUCGCAUUAUUAGUUUCGAUUGGAUCGCAUUUCGAUUCGAUUGUUAACAAAGGAGAGAGAGCAAGAUGGUGCUUUCCCAGAAGCUUCACGAAGCCUUCAAAGGGACGGUGGAGAGGAUCACCGGCCCCCGCACCGUCUCUGCCUUCAAGGAGAAGGGUGUCCUCAGCGUUUCCGAGUUCGUCCUCGCCGGCGAUAACCUCGUCUCCAAGUGCCCUACCUGGUCCUGGGAGGCGGGCGAGCCGAGCAAGAGGAAGUCCUACCUGCCCGCCGACAAGCAAUAUCUCAUCACGAGGAACGUGCCUUGUCUAAGGAGGGCUAUUUCGGUGGAAGAAGAAUAUGAAGCUGCAGGAGGGGAAAUUCUGCUUGAUAACGAUGAUAAUGAUGGCUGGCUUGCGACUCAUGGGAAGCCGAGAGAGACUAAGCAUGACGAGGAGGAUAACUUACCUUCGAUGGACACCCUAGAGAUCAGCAAAGGCCAGGCUAUUCGGUCCAUCCCCUCAUAUUUUGGUGGUGAAGAGGAGGAAGAUAUACCUGACAUGGCAGAUUUUGAAGGUUCCGAUAACCUUGUUGAGAAUGAUCCGGCUACUCUCCAGCCAACUUAUUUUGUUGCACAUGAACCUGAGGAUGACAACAUCCUUCGAACCAGAACAUAUGAUGUUAGCAUCACGUAUGAUAAAUAUUACCAAACUCCUCGUGUAUGGCUUACUGGAUAUGAUGAGUCAAGAAUGCCUUUACAGCCAGAGCUUGUACUUGAAGAUGUGAGCCAGGACCAUGCACACAAAACGAUGCCAGGUUACUGCAAUCAUCUUCAUCCACUUAUGUACAUACUUUGUGCUGAUGUUGCCUUCUUUGCUUCAAGACCUUCCUUACUUACCCUUUUGCUAAAAAAUACAGGUGACAAUUGAGGACCAUCCUCAUCUGCCAGGGAAGCAUGCGUCUGUGCAUCCAUGUCGACAUGGGGCUGUGAUGAAAAAGAUCAUUGAUGUUCUAAUGUCACGUGGAGUUGAACCAGAAGUUGAUAAGUACCUUUUCUUAUUCUUGAAAUUUAUGGCGUCGGUGAUUCCCACCAUCGAAUAUGACUAUACUAUGGACUUUGAUCUUGGUAGCUCCAGCCACUGUUAAAAGGUGGCAGCUAGGGCUGCAGUGGUGGCCUGAAGUGGUCGUUCUUGUCCAUAUGCAGCGUAUCUUGGAACACAUUGUACAUACCACGUGUGUCAUGCAUAUCUGAAUUCUCAGUAACAUGAAAGCUUGUUCAAACUCUUUCUGGUGGUAAAUGGUAAUACAAGUGAAAGAGUCUGACGGUUGUUUGCUACUCAAAUAAAAUUGAAGAAAAAAGAAGUAUGCAGUGUUUGACAUGGUAUA
This is a non-coding RNA of Elaeis guineensis (African oil palm), 1472 nucleotides long. NCBI's taxonomy places the organism in Eukaryota, Viridiplantae, Streptophyta, Magnoliopsida, Arecales, Arecaceae. The record is from RefSeq and is a predicted model, not a curated record.